UCGACGUCGACGCAGUGUUCG
Molecule: microRNA, 21 nt
Filed under: Drosophila sechellia
Lineage: Eukaryota; Metazoa; Arthropoda; Insecta; Diptera; Drosophilidae
Description: dse-miR-9685-5p
Source: miRBase by way of RNAcentral